Talpa occidentalis (Iberian mole) is the source of this 608-nucleotide long non-coding RNA. RefSeq lists it as uncharacterized. The record is from RefSeq and is a predicted model, not a curated record. The transcript is spliced from 3 exons. NCBI's taxonomy places the organism in Eukaryota, Metazoa, Chordata, Mammalia, Eulipotyphla, Talpidae.
CUCCGUGGCAGCCGCCUCCCAGCGCGCCAGGGCUUCUGCGGGCGCAGGGAGUAGGGUCAGGUUGGACACACCGCGCCCGAGCUUACGCCACGCCCACCCCUUGCGCCCCAACACACCUGUCAGCGCACCGUUCACAGCCCCCAUUUGGGUCCCCUGCUCCUUGGCCUCGUCCAUCUCAGUCUUCAGCGUCACAAGUUGGGUCUCAAGCAGGCUCUGUGGAGUGGCCCAGAAGCUGUGUCCCCCAUCAGACUGGGUGAGCCUGCUCAACUGAGACGAGUUCAUUAAAGAAUCAAAGUGAAGACUCGAACCCCGGGAACAGCCUUCAGCUUGCUCUGAGAAUGAAGGAGAAAGAAAGUUGGGGGCCUCCCUGGUGGCAAUUCUCAGUCUCUGCAGUACAAGUUUAAUCUCUAGAUCGAUCCCCUGGCGGGCAAGGGAGCAACCCCCAUGACACAGCAGACCUCUCCUGUCUUGCCUGCUGCUCCCCUCAGCAGUGUAUUUCAGUCAAUCUGCCUGUUCUGCUCCCCAUUCUGUCUCUGGUGAAUCCUCUCACCCUUCACACCUCUGGCCUGCAUCCCAGCUCUUGUAUGCAUAAAUAAAUAAAUCUUUAA